Molecule: small nucleolar RNA, 142 nt
Organism: Ornithorhynchus anatinus (platypus)
Lineage: Eukaryota; Metazoa; Chordata; Mammalia; Monotremata; Ornithorhynchidae
Source: RefSeq, a predicted model, not a curated record
AAGCUCCAUCUCAGGAUCUUCCCUGGAGAGUUGCCAGUACUCUACCAGCUUUGGCUACGGGAGCAAAAGUCAAGCAGAGGCCUACCCAUUCCAUUUCUAGCUUGGGCAGUGGCUAGCAAGUGGAAGGCAAUCUGCUACUGGU